RNAcentral lists this unclassified non-coding RNA (360 nucleotides) under uncultured bacterium. RNAcentral describes it as "contains 16S-23S intergenic spacer region". The record is from RNAcentral.
UCCGGGUUUCGCCCGGCAGUCUCCCUAGAACAUUCAACUGGGAGCGGGGGUUGCGCUCGUUGCGGGACUUAACCCAACAUCUCACGACACGAGCUGACGACAGCCAUGCAGCACCUGUGCAGGAACUCCGAAGAGGGCCCGUGGUUUCUCACGGGUUUCUCCUGCAUGUCAAGCCCAGGUAAGGUUCUUCGCGUUGCGUCGAAUUAAACCACAUGCUCCACCGCUUGUGCGGGCCCCCGCCAAUUCCUUUGAGUUUCAAUCUUGCGAUCGUACUUCCCAGGUGGGAUACUUAAUGCUUUCGCUCAGACACUUGCUGUGUAUCGCAAAUGUCGAGUAUCCAUCGUUUAGGGCGUGGACUAC